UCUUGGUCAWUUAGAGGAAGUAAAAGUCGUAACAAGGUUUCCGUAGGUGAACCUGCGGAAGGAUCAUUAAAGAGUAAGGGUGCUCAGCGCCCGACCUCCAACCCUUUGUUGUUAAAACUACCUUGUUGCUUUGGCGGGACCGCUCGGUCUCGAGCCGCUGGGGAUUCGUCCCAGGCGAGCGCCCGCCAGAGUUAAACCAAACUCUUGUUAUUAAACCGGUCGUCUGAGUUAAAAUUUUGAAUAAAUCAAAACUUUCAACAACGGAUCUCUUGGUUCUCGCAUCGAUGAAGAACGCAGCGAAAUGCGAUAAGUAAUGUGAAUUGCAGAAUUCAGUGAAUCAUCGAAUCUUUGAACGCACAUUGCGCCCCUUGGUAUUCCGAGGGGCAUGCCUGUUCGAGCGUCAUUACACCACUCAAGCUAUGCUUGGUAUUGGGUGCCGUCCUUAGUUGGGCGCGCCUUAAAGACCUCGGCGAGGCCACUCCGGCUUUAGGCGUAGUAGAAUUUAUUCGAACGUCUGUCAAAGGAGAGGAACUCUGCCGAUUGAAACCUUUAUUUUUCUAGGUUGACCUCGGAUCAGGUAGGGAUACCCGCUGAACUUAAGCAUAUCAAUAAGCGGAGGAA
This 621-nucleotide ribosomal RNA is filed under the name fungal sp. RNAcentral describes it as "eukaryotic LSU rRNA". The record is from RNAcentral. Lineage: Eukaryota; Fungi.